This 10782-nucleotide long non-coding RNA is filed under the name Homo sapiens (human). Its description in RNAcentral is "non-protein coding CALML3-AS1:9". The record is from RNAcentral. Lineage: Eukaryota; Metazoa; Chordata; Mammalia; Primates; Hominidae.
GAUGGGUCUUGGGGGAGACCAAGGGUGCCCUGCUCAAUGUCAGCCCUGACUCUGUGCCACGUGCACUCAGCUCUGCCACGGAGGUGCAUGGCUCUGUAGACGUGGACGGUGAGCUGGGGAGGAAGGUGGUCUUGGAGAGAAAUGCCCCAUGGGGAGCUGAGACCUGUGUGUCAUGGGAUCAUCCUGGAUUUGGCUUAAAAUCCACGUGGCUGUGGAAAUCCCAGGGUGCACCGAGGAUCUGUGGGGGAGCAGGGGUCUCUUAAAUUACCACGGUGCCAGCUACAUGGCCCGGGUGGGUGGUUCCCCACACUGCCUACCCCUUCAUACCUCGCCCCAUUACACCCUCCUGGAAUCAUUCUCACUGGAGGCUGCACCGUUUCCUGCUGCCCACGAUGAACAAAGCAGGAAACUGUCUUUUCCAGACUUCCCCACGAAGUGAGGUUUUGACGACCUCAUUCUCCAAGAGCAAACCCAGCCCCUGGAGUCCGUUCUUUCCCUGCGCGCGUGGACACCCCUGCAGCAGUGGCUCCUUUUGGUGGCCGCUCUUCAGACACGUGCUAGAGAGCAAUCAUUGAUGACAACGUUUUCUUUCAAAAGGCCCAGAAAACAAAAUUAAAUCUUGGGACUCGAAGCUUCCUGGGCCUGUGCCACGAAGGCCCAUGCUUAGCCGGUCUGGUGCCAGGCUCUGUGACGUGUGGAAACCAGGCCCACCGACCACACAGCAGUGGCUGAGGAUGGCUCCCUCCUCGGCUACUCUCUGAAAUGGUAGAGGCCACUCUCAUGGCUGAGUGGUCUCCGCCGUUCUGCAGAGGUGUGGAUAAGAACAGGAGUUCCUGCUUGUCUCCUAGGGGUCCGUAUUGAACGUUGGCAAUCAGUGGAAAUCCUGUCUCAGGCCCUCUCGGGGCCCCACACUGAUCAUUGUAUUUAAAUCCUCCCAGUGUCCUGCAGACACCUACCUCCCAGACCAAAGAGGGACCUUGCUGGUGGCCAGGAAACAAGCUGAAGCACAGAGAGGAGAGAAAGAGACAGAGUUGGGUCCUCGGGUCACCUUAAAAGGCUGUGAGACUUUUUGCCAGGGCAGGGCCUGGCGGGUGGUGGAGAUGCAGGAUGAAGGACUUAAGGAGGGAUCUUUUACUUUCAGUGUGAAAGUGACCUGUGUUUUUAUGAGGGGGCUAGAGAAAUACUCAGAAUCUGAGAGCAGGCAGUUGGAGUGGGAUCUCAGCAAACUUCCGUGUCUGCAUGGUCCUGCAACCAUCGCCCUGGACAGAGGUCUCAGCUGGGUAGAGAUGGACGGUUGUCAGGGCACAGCCUGUCCUUAGGGGGUGCUAGGAAUGGGGAUUGGGGUGAAGAGGAGUUCAGGAAAGAGGGGUGAGGCAUGGGGAACCUGCUGGCUUAGAGGAUGCAAAGGGGCAGGUUUUAUGGACGCUUUAUGCAGGUCCCUUUCAUAAAGAUACUUGCCCAGCCUGAGCAGAAACCCACACCCUAGAGUUUGUUUCUUCCCUGUGGGCACCCCCCGCCCCCGCAGCAGCGGCUUCUUUCAGUGGCAGAGGCUGACUCUUUUUGCAGCUUCUCCAGCACUUGCAAAUGCAACUUCCUUGCACCCACUUCAGACACUUUACAGCUGGAACCCCUUCCUUCAAGGUUAGGGGCCCAGGCCCACAGCCCCUACCUCCAAGUUUCCACGUUUGAAGAAUCCCAACCUUUUCCCUUUGCCUCCUCAGCCUCAGGGGUGACACCUCAGAGCUCCUGUUUACCUCUUUAGCCACCAGGUUAGUAAUUUUACACCCAUGCAAGUGUGUACAGGAAUCUUCCGGAUCCAAGUGGCUGGUGUGGGCGUUGUCUUCUGUCUGAACCCUGGCCCUUGUCUGUGCAGAUUCCUCCCCUCCUGUCCGGGAGAGAAGAGACAGUUUCGAUGUCAUGUGGAGACAGGAGGCUGUGGUCAACGAGGGGAGGCUGUGGUCAACGAGGGGAGGCUGUGGUGGGGGGUGGCGUUCUGAGUCACUUGGCUGGCUUGGGAAUGUGAGCUGGGCCAGGUGCACCUUAGAGAGCCUGGGUGGUGCUGGGGACCUUCAGGCUCUGGAGUCCUGGGUGACCCUGACAGGUGCAUGUACCCACAUCUCCUUGGCCCCUGUCUCUGUUGCUAAUGUCCCUGCACAGACCCCCCCCAGCCGUCAUUUACAGAUUCCCAGCAGUGAAGCACACGGGCUUAGGUUAAAAUCACUGAGCCCCUUGCACAGCGGCCUUCUGGUCCCCUCUGCUGUAAGGCAGGACCACCUGUCAGCCCCUGUCUUCUGGGGACCCCACUAGGCCUAAGAGAUGAGGCUGUGGGGUUCUGUCUUCUGGAGGCCCCACUAGGCCUAAGAGAUGAGGCCGGCGGCGGAGGUCUGGCCUGGAAGAGAAAUGUGGUGAGUCACCCCAGGCCUGACAGAUUCACUCAGACCUGGUCCUUCUGCUCCUAGGCUGAGCCAUCUCUCAGGGACCCUCCUGCCCUCCUUCACCUCUCACCUGGCCUGCCCCAACCAGUUCUCCAGGCAAGCCCAAACCAGUUCCACCUGGUUUGUGACUGUGUUUGGAAAGAGGGUCUUUGCCGAGGUAAUUAAGUUAAAAUGAGGUCAUGUGAGUGGGCCCUGAGCCAGUCUGAUGGGUGUCCUUACAGGAAGACAUUAGGACUCCCAGAGGGUGACUCCAGGGGCAGGUGGCUUGGAGGACUGGCCGUGCAAGGAGGCAGCAAAGGGGCGGCCAUCUGCAAGCUGAGGGCAGAGGCCUUGGAGGAAGCAGCCCUGCCAGUGCUGGUAACUGGGCUGGAGAGACUUCUUCAUGAAGGAAUACAGGGACAGUCACAGGAGACAGGAGCACCAAGGGAUUCGGACAUGUGGCUGACACAGUCUUCUGGAGAGCCCCGGAUGGCAUCAGGGGGAAACCUGGCCUGAGACAGUGCCCUGAUGGACAAGGACAGGAAUACGGUCAUACCUCCUGCCCACUUGACCAACGACCAGGAUGAGAAGCCAACAGAUGAUGAAUAUGAAUUAAAGUUGGACAACUAGCAAGUUUAAAACUUGGACUGGGACCUAGAUCUUCCGAUUCCUACAGCUAGCCUCCCUUUCCAUCUUCUCUGUGGUCAUCACUAAUGCAGUUUUUGACCGUCUUGUCCAGAAGCUGCAAAACAGACAACAGAAGCCAGGACUGGCCCUGCCUUAGAUGGCUUUCAGUGCAGGAAAGUAUCAAGACAGUCUUGUUCGUAGCGUAUAUCUCUCUCCACCUUUUCUGCUAAGCACCUCAUGUAUGCAGCUGCCAAUGUAACACCUCCAUUUGCGUGUUUAAUCACCAUCUCAAGCUAAUGUAACCAAGCAGACUUCUUGGCCUUCAUCCCUGCCUCCUCUAGUCUUCUCAUCUCUCUCUCUCUCUCUCUCUUUUUGAGACAGAAUUUGGCUCUGUUGCCCAGGCUGGAGUGCAGUGGCACCAUCUUGGCUCACUGCAACCUCUGCCUCCUGGGCUCAAGCCAUCCUCCCAACUCAGCCUCCUGAGUAGCUGGGUCUUCCCAUCUCUUUAAAAAACAAUUCAAUUGUUCAGAACAAAACCCUGGAGUCAUAUUUAAUUCCUCCCUUCCUCUUGCACUUCUAAACCAAUCAUUCAUCUCUACUUUGAAAAUGUUUCUUUAUUCAUCCAGUGCACCAAGCCACCAUCACCUCGAGGCAGGAAUAUUCAACGGCCUCAUAAGUGGUCUCCCUAUUUGUGUUAUAUUCAAUGCAUGUCUUUUCUUACUCAAAAUCCUAUAAAGGCUUCUCUUCACCAUCCACGACUGUUUCCUGCCUUCCUCACUAUGAUCCCAUCACUGACCCCUCAAGACUAUGUUCCAGCCUACUUUCUGCUCCUUGACCAACACCCUUACUCUGAUUCCCACUUUUGUGACUUCACAUGAGUCCCCUGUCUGCCUGGACACUCUGCCCCCAACCUUGAAGUGCUCACCCUUCCCUGUCACUCAGUUGAAAGUCAAAUUCCAUUUCCUCAUGAGGGCUUCCCUGAAUACCCACUUUUAAUUAACUCUCUGCCUCCUCCCAUCACUUCUGUUUUACCCCCUCUUUUAGUUCCUUCCUAUCUUAGUUUCAUAAGAGCCAGGGCCGUUUCCGACUUCUUUCCCCGUCAAGCCUCCUUAGAUAGGACAGGUCCUCUGCCUCACCGACUUUAAUCAGUAUUUGCUAAGUAAACAGAGCACAGGAGGAUCCUGUUGUCAUCAAAGAGCAGCUCUGCCUCCAAUGGCGAAAGGAUUGUUGGAACCUCAUCCUUCCUUCAAGUUCUGGUUCAAAAAAUUCCAUGCUAUGCCUCACAUGGCCUUGCCCAGGUGCCUGUUUGAUUUGCCUGGGUUGUCUGUUCUUUCUUCCCCACUGUCCUCAUUUGCCAUGUGGCUCGGUGGUGGCUGGAGACCUCCAUGCUGGCCCCUGGGAGCAGCUGCUAAGGCUCGGCGCCUCAGGACACCUUGGCACCUGUGGAUAUCGACCACCAGGCUUCUCUUCUGUUCAUGUCUCUGCAAGAAUGAGAACCUGCCCCCAUACCAUUUGUGCUGUGUAGGCCUCAGGAGGCAUGGACUCACGCAUCCAGCUUCCUGCAAGCCCUCUGGUACAUCGCAGUGUUCACCCCCAGCUUUCUAUUACAGCCACCACCCAGGGACUCUGGUGCAGGCUCCUUAGAGAGAGGCCAGGAAACUGCCGAGGUGAUAAGUGACAGCAGGUCUCAGGGGAAGAGAGGACUUCUCUCCUUAGUAAAGAACCUGUCGAGGUCGGAAAGACACUCCAGGCUCAAAGCCAAAUUUGAAAGUUAGGCUGACAGCCCAACUAGGGCAGAUUGGAGGAGCCAGGUGGAGAGAGGAUGUGGGGGAGUCAGGAAAGAGGUGGAAGGAGAAGCCUGGAAGAGUGGCUCCGCUCCUGGAGUAUGGCCAGCGGCACUUCGUCAGGACCUCGACCUUCACCCACUAGUGGGAGGGUGUUCCUCGCAUGACUUGUAGGAUCACCUGGGAAACACACAAAUGGAAGAAUUUAAAAAUAUCUGCUAGGACACCCCGUGUCCCCCACAACUCAUCACAGAGCAAACCCAUCACAGAGCAAACUCCUUGGCUACUUCUUGUCUUGGGCCGUCUUUUCAUCUGGCCUGUUUGCCUGACUGGACUUUGGGGUCUUUGUUCCCAGCAUCAAAAUUUCCUACCAGCGACUUUCCAUCACAGCUCCCUUCCAGUCUUCUGGAAAUUGUCAGAUGUGCCUGGAUUUGCAGGGCCUGCACAAGAUAUGCUGUCGAUCUGGGAUUUUUGGGGAUUUUUGCAGUUCACACUCCAAUGUGCAACAGCAACCAAACGGAGAUGGAGGACGUGAACAUGAACUACUGGAGAUGCUGAUGAAACGUGUGUAAGGACCGCAAUGGUAUCUGUGUCCUGCUCGUGAAAUUGACCAGAUACAGCGGCUUCCUUUUGCUUCCGAAGGCCCGGAUUGACCUGACAAUUGAUAUGCUUUGCUCUAUACUCCAACUCCCAUUGACCAUGGGGUGAAAGCACCCUUUCUCGGUCAGCCUCACUGCUUCCCCGCAGAUGGAGGGAUUUUCUGCAGGAGCAUGGGCCCUGGGCCUUCCUUUCCCACUGUCUCUUGAAAGCCUCCUCCAGAUGUGCUGCCUGGCUCAGCUCUUUGGGUGACUUUUGUUCUGUCUCAUGUGACCCAUCAAGAUUCACACAGGGCUGUGUCCCGGGCAGGGCUGGAGUCGACAUUCAGGGAGGAGAUCACUGUUCUGGAACAGAGCAGUGAUUGGUUUAAUUGAAAUCUGAUAGAUCAUCAUGUAAAAAGCUGGCAUGUAAGCAUGCUCCCGGAGCCUGCAGGGCCCUGCGCGGCCUCUUGCCUGGCCAUCACGUAGAGGCGGUCCUCUUGCAUGGUUGGGGGCCUCACCUGCACCACGGGCCCCCAAGCCAAACAGUGAGAUUGUACGGAGACCAUCCUGGUCAGGUCUUGCAGUUUGCACCAGGUAGCCCCAGGCUAUCCUGCCGUGCAAGAGCUGCCUUCUCAGCACAGUGGAGUUCUACGGCUGCCUCGGCUGCAGAGGUCAGCUCUGGAGCCUUGCUGAGCACCUCCAUGGAUGCAUUUUGCAAAGGGCCGAGUAAGAGGCAUUAACGUGGCCUGUGCUUAGUUCCUGACAGCAAGCGGGAUUAAACCCGGAUUAAAGGAUCAGCCCUAAACCAAAGCAGACCAGUAAUAGGUCUCAUGAUAAAAGCAGCCAAAUAAUAAUAGUAAAAAUCUAUUCUUGGACUUAUUACUUUCCUGGGAAAAGGGCUAUUUCUUGUGAAAUAUGCAGCGAUUGGAACUUUCCCCGACAGCCCACCGUGAGCUCACUCACUGCCCCUGCCUGUGCUGGGGGGUGGUGGGUGGUGAGAGGUGCAAGUGAAGGGUCUGGACAGAGGCAGAGGGAGGAGAGGGGGCAGGGGGAUGGGGAGGAAGAAUGGGGGGUUCGCUCUGGGAUAGCUUCAUGAUCCACUGAACCUUUCAAACUUGAUGCUUGACGUUUUGAAAAAAAUGACAGAAAAUAUGGGCUGGGCACUGUGGCUCACGCCUGUAAUCCUAGCACUUUGGGAGGCUGAGGUGGGCAGAUCACCUGAGGUCAGGAGUUCAAGACCAGCCUGGCCAACAUGGUUAAACCCCGUCUCUACUAAAAAUAAGCCAGGUGUGGUGGCACAUGCCUGUAAUCCCAGCUGCUUGGGAGGCUGAGGCAGAAAAAUUGUUUGAAUCUAGGAGACAGAGAUUGCAGUCAGCCGAGAUGCUGCCUCUAAACUCCAGGCUGGGUGACCAAGUGGGGCUCUGUCUCGAAAAAAAAAAAAAAAGUGUACUAGGGGGAUGUCGUUGAGGGGCUUAGCCACAUGCUACAGAUCUUUUUAUACCAAGAUGCAUUCAAUGAUUAGCUAAGUUGGACAGUUUGUUACUUUAAGCCUCCACAACCAAAGGGGCAAGAUAAUUAUCUCCCAGAGAACAAGUUGAUCUUCUUUGAAGGAUAAGGAGUUCCCCAAGCAGCAGGAAGAGCUUCUGUUCCCAAUUCCAGCCUUUGAAGUUUAAGCUUCAGAAGAAAACCUUAGCAUUUAAUACAGGAAGGCAUGCACGUGUGUGUGCAUGUGUUUGUACCCACACAUGUGGCUCAAGCUUCCCUGUGACAAUGGGUUGCCUGCGGGUAAGCGUGGGAUGUGUGGAGAAGGCAGGAGGGUUUAGGGCGUGGGCUCAGUACCCUGAUGAGAGAUUUAAAGCAGGCAAAGGGAUUCGGCAAAGUGCAGCUCCCAUUUCAUCAUUUCUUCAGACCCUGCCUUAGUUAUUUACUGCUGUGGUUUUAAACUCUGCUCUUCGAAACCCUUGGUUUCUGCAGAAGUCCUUCGAGAGGUUCGUGGGGGCAAAGGAAGGUGAGGGGCAGGAGCCCAGGCCACCCGGCCUCCUUCCUUUCCCCACGUCUGCUUUCAACUGUUUCAUAUGCAUCAUGCAAAUCGCAGCUGUCAUGGCUCAGGUCCUCAUGUGUACAAUGGGCGCCAUGGCAGCGUCCAGGUCAGAGGGUGACCAGAGUGACAUGAAUUAAGACACGAGAGGACUCCAAAGAGUGGUCAGGCCUCUCACGUCAUAAGAUCUCCAUAAAUGGUCACUAUUAUUUUGUGUUAUUAGGGGUACGCUUUUCAUUUGUAAGAUGACUUCCAUGGGGCCCCACGCCUCAUGACCCCGUCUCACCCCCUGCAAAUACCAUCCCAUGGAGAGGCAGGACUUGAGCCUAUGAAUUUGAGGGGUACACGGUUCAGUCCAAACCUUUUGGUGUUUCUGUGUAUCCAUUUCUGCAUGUGUAAAAUGAGGAGAACAGACAGCUUCCGACCUCAUCUCCAAAGGCGCACGGAGGAGGUGGAAAGGCCCUCGCCGGAGACUGAGCACUGCAGCCAGCGCAAGGCCGGAUUUGCUGCUUCCGCGCGGGGACGCCCUCGGAAAGGUGGCAGGUGCCCACGGCGAGGAAGGGGCGGGAGUGAGGGGUGCGUGGCCCGAGAGAACUCAGUGAAGAAGGCCAUUAGGGAGGAAAUAAGGGAAACGGGGUGUGCGAAGCUCUGAGCUUUUUCUGCCCGGUUUGGCUGAGGACACGCCACGGGUGAGCAUCUGCGCGAGGGGAGCUUGGUGGGUGAGGAAGGAAGAAGACACGAUAGAGAACUGGAAGCAAGAAGGGAGGAAACCAAAAGGAACGGGGAGGAGAAAGGGCUUCUCUGGAGCUGCUUGCUUUUCCCAGAUUCUCCUGCCAUUCCUGGCUCCAGGGAGUCCUGAAGGAACGAUGGUUAGGGCGGAGAAUCCUGCAGAGGAAAGGAGAGAAAGGACUAGAGGUCACACACGGCUUCUUGGAGGGGAGCGGGGAGCAGGGGCUCCGAGGCUGCGGGUCGCAGGCUCCAGGGCAGGAAGCUCUCCAUGGGAACCGUAGUAUGAAUUCCACCGAGGUGCGUCCCGGCACAGACCCGAAGGCAGCCACAUUUGUGGAAAUAAGAUUUGACGUGCAUUUCGGAUCCGCAGAGAAGGUGGACUCUGUUUUGCAGAAUGGACCAGCGGUGGGGGGUGGGGUGGGGGGCAGGAAAAGACUUUAAACGCUGGCAGAACUUUGUAUUCCACUCAUUCGUGCAUGCAUUCAUUCAGCCAUCCUUUCGCUAUCAUUCAUCAAACUAGCGCGCACUGAGGCCACUUUGUGUCAGCGCAGCGCCUGGCCUGAGGACCUCAGGGUGGUGUCGGCAAAGUUCCGCUGCCAAGGAGUUCACGGGCCGUGUUUCCUGCCAGGCCGCAGACACUCUCUGCGUGGAGCCCGAGGAGGUUCUGUGUGAGAUCUCACCCUGCGGGAAGAAAGAGGCGGAGGCUCGGGGUUGGUCCAAUCACACCCCUGAUGGUGAGAGACGGGCGGGCGGGGCCUGACGCCCACUCCCAGCUGGAUGCCUGUCUCCCACCCCGCGUGUCCUUUCCCAGACCCCAAAGCUUCCUGCCUGGUCUCAGUUCUUCGGAGAAGAGGGAUUAGAAGCUGGAACAGGUAUUUCUGCUAAUGGGGCGUGGCAGAUCGGCAUUUGCGGGGGCUCUGUCACCCCGUAAGAUGUCCCAGCAGGAAGCGUGGCGGGUCUCCACUGAGAGCUCCACGGAGCAGCUUUGGCUCCCUGAGAAGUCGAGGUGUGAGCAGUAGCGGCCUUCCCUUUGCAGAGAGAAGGCUUGGGGAGAGAAGACCCUGGUGCCAUCUUCAUAGGAGGUGGAAAGGAAACUGUAUGACAGGAGAAUGAAUCAGGUUUGGGGCUCAAGGUGCCGGCCACUGGGAAAAACAGCUGCCCCGAGUUGCAAAACUCUGGGUCCUAUAUGUAUAAACUAUGCCCUGAGGAAGGAAUCUCAGGCGUAUCUUAGGAGAAAAUGUUCUAGCUUGGGAAACAAACACAACAGGACCGUGAAUCCAAAUAUUUCAAGUGGGUUUAGAGGACUGGAGUUCUAAACGCUGCUUUUACUGUAAGUGAUCACGCCCCGGAAUGUGCUGAAGAAAGGAAAAUGAGCCAGUAUCGGCGAGGACUAUGGGCAAGGAAAACGAGAGUGUGCGAUGUGUCAAAGCAAGACAUCUGUGUAUAGUAAUAUAAUCAAGUAAUAGAUAGUCAUAGAAUCAAGCUGAUGUAUUUGGCAGGGGCCGCGGGAGGAUGAGGCAACUCCCAUCAGAUUAGAAAGAUGUUAACACUGUAACAAAAGUGGGGCUCGAGGAAGGGGAAAAGCGCAGCUCUCUUUUUAAGACGCCAGAAAGUAGUCAGACAUGCUAAGAACAAAACAAACACAAACGAAAACCAGCAAAGAAAGCUCUUCGAGAAGAGUAAGGCUACUGAUCUUUAGGAAUCAAAUCAUUAUUUCCACACAUGUCAUGAAGAACACAGACAUUAAAGCACAAAGGAGAAACUUAAAUGAAAGUAGGAGGGAGAAGUCAAAGCUCAAGUAAAGAGAUUUUUAACCUAGAGAGGCUGAGUUAUCAAGGAAGAAAGAAGGCCAAGCCAGCUUGUUGCAGAAUGUUCCAGAAGAUAAGAUAAUGAUAGACUUAAAUAAAUAGGGACUGAUCAAGGUGAUAGCGAGUUCUUGGUGAAAUUGCUUCCAAGGAUUUUAUAGAAGUGUAUUUCAUGGAAAUGUACAGUAACCGGAUGACUGUAUUAAAAUUUUAAAACUGCUGGGUGUGGUGGCUCAUGCAUAUAAUUCCAACACUUUGGGAGGCCAAGGCGGGUGGAUCACAUGAGGCCAGGAGUUCGAGACCAGCCUGACCAACAUGGUAAAACCCUGUCUCUAUUAAAAAUACAAAAAUUAGCAGGGUGUGGUGGUGUGUGCCUGUAAUCCCAGCUACCUGGGAGGCUGAGGCAGGAGAAUCACCUGAACCUGAGAGGUUGCAGUGAGCCAAGAUUGCGCCACUGCACUCCAGUCUGACUCCGUCUCAAAUAAAACAAAAUAAAAUAAAAAUCUAAAACUGACUUAGGCAGUUAAGUGUGUUUCCAAAGAACGUAAUUGGUGGGAGGCAGAGCGGGCCCGAAUUGCCACCUCUUCCCGGCACGGCCAGUGCUCUUCCUCCCACUCCCGGCCACCUCCGCAGGCCCCUGCCCGUGCCAGGACUGGGUGAAGCUGUGAAUGUGCUUCUCCACUUGGGGGUGCGGGACAAUGCUGGGGCCCUGGGCUGGGUUUCUGCCCUAGGAAGCCUCACUGUUGAGUCAGGGGCUGCUGGAGCUGAGUUUUGUCUUCAGUGGCUUAUGAAGGAAAGAUGAAGCUA